Molecule: long non-coding RNA, 5320 nt
Organism: Lagopus muta (rock ptarmigan)
Lineage: Eukaryota; Metazoa; Chordata; Aves; Galliformes; Phasianidae
Exons: 5
Source: RefSeq, a predicted model, not a curated record
AUCCAGAGGUAGCACUCCCAGCCCGACCGCCUCUCCUCUCCGGGCUCACUGCUGCACAGAACCAGUAGCCAUUUAUGACGACAGUCAAGAAUUACGUGUGAAAAGUUAUAAAAGUCUGAAGGAGUGCUAACUACCAGUAUUGCCAUCUCAGGAUGGUGUGCAAAUAUAUUUCUACCUGACACAUCUCCCUCCUCCACCAGUGGCAAUUAUAACACAGAUGGACUCAAGGGAUUACUGACAAUUUCUUUAAUGAUGUGCGAGCGCUCCCAUUGCCCAUUUAGAUUUACUCUGCAACACUGACAGUGACAAAAAGAUGCCCUCUCUGUGUCAUACCGUCAGUGGAUGCCAUGAGCGUCUCUCAAUGCCAUUUCAAAGUCUGCUAGCAGAGAAGUAAGAAGGAAAAGCUUUAGGAAACCAGUUCCAUUCAGGAGAUAAUUCCCUUCCCAGAGGUUAACAGUCAUGAAUCAGCAAUGAUUUCAGAGGAUUCUCUGGGACUUCCCAAGAAAGCAAAUGAAUAUGAAUAUGGGAACCUCUAUAUAGGAUUUUAUGACUCUAGGUACCUAGAUCUGUGGUGAUCUAGGUAAACUGCACUAGUAUGCUUCAAUUGAGUACACGCAGUAGCUUCAACUGACGACUGAUGGCCAGCAUCUGUCUCUUCCCAUCACCUUGGAUCCAGGAAAAAGCUUUGUAUGAGCUGAUCAUUUGCAUCAAACUAGCCACCUUUACUCACAUGAGGGAAAGAUGAAAAAUCAUUGACAAAGAACAAGGCAGUUAGGUAGAUUCCAGAGAACUGUGCAAGGAAAAUGAAUCAGUGACACUUUUGGAAGAGAGAUACAAAAUUAAGAUUAGAAAGCCCAGUCCUAUGAGAUGCUGAAGUUAUUGGAUGCAUCCCUAUAAACUGUCCUGCAUCUACAUCUUUUAAUUACUAUUUAUUUGAAAAAGGUAGUUUUUCAUCAGUAGGUGACGGUUGGAUAUUUAUAGAAACACAGAUUCACAGAGUCUUUGAGGAUAGAAGGCCUCUCUGGAGGUCAUUGUGACCACACAUGUCCAAUAUUUUGGCUUUCCUAGGCCAUGUUGAGAAAAGAGGAAUUGUCUUGGACCAUAUACAUAAGUUGCUCUGAAAGUAAUGCCUCCUAUUUGUUUCCAUGGAAUCACCAUUUUUCAAAACAUAACACCGUUUUCAACAUAACUAACACCAUUAGCUAUGCAUUUUCACCAGUGAUGAACAAGAGCCUGCACACUGAGCUCAUAGAAAUCUGUACUAGUGGAGACGAAUCACUGUCACUACUACUGAAAUGCACCACCCUCUGUCUCACUGUGCUCAUAUCCACUGUUUGGUCUCCAUAGAUAUUCAGCAAGCAUUAGUGUAUGUCAGUGGGUGUCUUUUUUUCCAUAUACAGAAAUUCAAAGAUAUAACUUUCCUUUGCUGCCAUCUGUCACAAGGGAGCAAAAUGUAAUAGAAUACUGGUGUAAAAGUUAAGCCUAAUGCCAUACUACCAACAUCUUCCUCUGAUGUCAUGGGUCAACAUACUGAAACAGGAGGCAUUACUUUUGGAGCAGCCCUCGUAAAGAUUAUAAUAUCAUUAAUAUAUAAAUAAAAAAACAUCUUAAUUUUUAAUAUUUUUCUCAAAACAUUAAAAAAGAGAGUAACAAAACCAUAAAUUAGUGGGAUAUGCGAUCUUGCUUUUACGAAGCAAAUCCAACAGUUUUGUUCAGUGGUUACAACUCUCUGUGAGCUCUCAAGGUGUUCAUCAGAUAUGAAUUUUGAUGAAAUUUGAUGAAAUGUUACUCUUUCUGUACUUCAUCCUUGACAAUUUUUCACAAAUGUACAUUCUGCCAAAAAGUGAUGACAUGAAUAAGGCUUGGUUGUGAAGUGAAGGAUAUUUGUCUCUGGUAAGAGGUCUUAGGAAAGUCUGGUAAAGAAACAUGAUCGUCUUUUUUAGUUGAAUAUCUGAUUGCAACUUUAUACAUUGUAUUUGAAAGUUUUCAGGUAAUGUAUUUAUGUCCACUGAAAAUGAUGUCACAAACAUAAACUGAUUAUAUUUUUUGCAACCUCUCAAACUCUUUUAUCAAAUUGGAAUGCAAGGCUGCUCGUUCUUCACUACUGAGAGCACUGUGUUUAGCCAGUGUAUUAAAAUGCACACAAUCAAUUGCCAUCACUUGAAUCAGCACUGCACAGCACUGCCCUCCCUGUGCCCUGCAUUCAAUAGACACACUGUUAAUAGCUCACUGACGGUUUGGUUUGGUCAUUGUUGAGGGAUGGGUGCAUGCCUGGGACCUUGAUGAGAGGAUAGUGGCAUCUGUCCUGGCAAGGCCUCAUCUGGAGUACUGUGUCCAGUUCUGGGCUCCCCAGUACAAAAAAGACAGGGAUCUCUUGGAAAGAGUCCAGCGGAGGGCCACAAAGAUGGUGAAGGGCCUGGAGCAUCUCUCCUAUGAAGAAAGGCUGAGUGAACUGGGUCUGUUUAGCCUUGAGAAAAGAAGACUGAGAGGGGAUCUAAUCCAGGUUUAUAAAUAUCUGAGGUGUGGGGGCCAUAGUGGUGAGGCUGGACUCUUUUCAGUGGUACGUGGAGACAGGACAAGGGGGAACAGACAUAAGCUGCAGCAUAGGAAGUUUCGCACGAAUGUGCGCAAGAACUUCUUUACAGUGAGGUGACGGAGCACUGGAACAGGAUGCCCAGGGAGGUGGUGGAGUCUCCUUCUCUGGAGAUGUUCAAGACCUGUCUGGAUGCCUACCUGUGCGACCUGCUGUAGGGAACCUGCUUUUGCAGGGGGGUUGGUCUCAAUGAUCUCUAGAGGUCCUUUCCAACCCCUACAGUUCUGUCAUUCUGUGAUUCUGUGACCACUCCAUGGUAAAGUGCCACUGUCCUUUUAGCACAGGGCAAGAUAGUCACAUUGCCAGCUCUGUGGGGCCUCGUGAGGCCCACAUCCUGAACAUGCUUGAUUUGUACUAAAGAUGCUAUUUAGAAGAAAAAAUAUGUUCUAUGGAUACAAUCCUUGUGUUAAAAGCACCAAUUACAAAAUUGUUGUGGUUCUUCCCAGGAGUACAGGAGUACACAUCUAACUGUUCCAGGAGCUUCUAAGCUCUCUGCCAUAAUGUCUUUUUCAUAGAUAGGAAUUUCAGACAUGUAGGUCAGAUGGGAUCUGAUCGUACCUUAUAUCUUGUACCAUAUUAUUUGGGGAGAAGACACUCACUUACACUUGCAGGUCAGUGUAGAAGGGGCCAGUGACAGCACUGACAGCUUUGAGGAGGCAUUUUACAGGAGGAGAGAUUGCAGGUGCCAGCUUGUCCUUGCUGUGCCGGAUGGCUUGUUGCUGAAUAAGGCUCCAGAGCUCACUUACAGUUUGCCCACAAAUGAGAGUUGUUAGAAAAUUGUUUUACCUGCAAUCUAAGCUAUUUUCAGGAAUAUUUAUGCUUCAAAUCAAGUCUUUACAGGAUGGAGUUUUCUGCUAGAAAAGCUUGAAGUACUAGAAGUGUAUUUGAGUUUAAAAUAAAUGAAAACAGUUUUCUCUCAAAUUUAAAGCAAAGACAAGUCGUCUUGCUUUACAAUUCAGCCCUACAUAUAUGUGCAGAUAUGUGUACAUGUAUAUGUAUAAGCAUACGGUAGUCAAAGCCCAGAAUAGAAGAGUUUAUUCACUGAAGUUUCAUUUUUCACAGAAAAAAAAUUGUGAAGUUUGUAGGUCAUUCCUCUGCACACUACUCUGAGUUUUGAAGUUUCAGAAACAUCCGGAGGUGGAUGGUUUUCCAGCUUUCCCACUCCUGUCUUACUUGAUGACAUAUUUUCAGGUUUUCUGUAUUGCCUCUAGUAUUAGCAGAAUGUGAAAUUUUAACAUUGUUAUUCAUUAACUGAGGAAGGGCAGAGACUUUAAGACAUACCUCAAUUUAUCUUGUUAAAAAAACAGAAUAACAUACACAGAAAGUAUAUCAGAAGGCAUAUGAAUAUAAAGGAUAUUCAUGCAAAUGAAUCUAAGAGCCACAAGCUCCCAGCAAACUAGGAGUUUGUGGAUUUUCUAGUUUGAAGGAACAAAAGUGCACAGACAAUUAGGGUUGCAUAACAUUAAUCUAGAGCUAUUCUCAGUGAACUUGUCUAUUUUUCAAUUAUCCAAACACAAUCAUUAAUAUUUUCAUCUGACUUAUAGUCAAGUAUAAUAAUAUCAGUUCUAUGUCAGUCUCAGGCUGAAGGAAAUUUUGAGUUUUCAAUGUAGAAUAGAGACAAAGUCAAAGACACAGGGCACAGACAAAAUCAGCUAUAUGAAGAGAUAGCAAAUAAGGGAAGAGAAACUUAAUGCUAUAUUCCAAAUCAGAGAAUUUGGAGAAUUGCCUGCAGAUAGUCAUGGCCUUUAUUUAUCCGGAGGAAUGAAACCAUGACUCAAAAAGUAGGUAAAAAAUCUUCUGGUGAGAUAAUCAUAUUUCAAGUAGUAAUUGCCUGGAGAAAAUGAUCAAGAUUUUUUUGAUUUCUCCCAAUGCUUCUACCCCAAACUGGUAAUGCCAUUAAGAAAGAAACAAAAACCCUCUUGCAUAAAGAUGAACUGCAAAAAAGCAGUCAAAAAGCAGAUAUUUAAAAUGUUGAGGAUCUGAAAGGUUGGUCUCUUUACCAACUUUACACAGAACUCAGACCUAGGAGGCAUUUGGAAAACAGUCUGCAAUUUUAUCCUGGCACUGUUUUUUUUUUUUUCUGCAGCUGAACAUCACUGUCAGAAAGAAGCAUUCUUUCCCAACAAGUUCUUAUCAAGGCCAUGAUGUCACCUGCAGUGACUGAGGCUUUAUUGCAAAUAUCAGUGGAACAUGAAAUGUGCUGUCUUAAGGAUGUAUGCUUAUGAAUACAGUCAUGGCUGUUCUGAAUAUAUGUCCUAUAUCCAAAGGAAAUCUGUGAUGAAUAUCCCCCAGUUGAUAAUUGUAUCAAGAACCCUCUGUUCUGAAAGGAAUAUCUUCAUCGUUAAAGCUAAAUCCAAAACGAUGGUAAUAAUAUUUUAUGAUGAUACAGCACUUUGUUUCAAAUAUUUCAGGUAUUUUGCAAAAGUUAGUGACCUUCUCUGUAAAAGAUGUAAAAAUAUUUCCCAAGAAAAAAAUAAAUACUGAAGAAUGGCAAUGCAUCAUCAGAUAGAAUUUCUUGAGUAAAGAACAUUGUACCCGACCUGAUUUUGCGUCCAAGAUAUUAUUGAAAACACUCCUUAGGAUUUCAGAAAAAUUAUAGCAAAGUUAAAACAAAUCAUGAGACAUGGGGGUGGUUCCCACUUCACUUGCUCACAGGAAUAAAUGCCAGAGAAGUAAGUCCUUUUAUGGUAUAAAUUAAGUGUUCUUUAAAUUUCAAGUGUUGUCAGC